GCAAGUCGAACGAGAUCUUCGGAUCUAGUGGCGCACGGGUGCGUAACGCGUGGGAAUCUACCCCUUGGUUCGGAAUAACAGUUGGAAACGACUGCUAAUACCGGAUGAUGACGUAAGUCCAAAGAUUUAUCGCCGAGGGAUGAGCCCGCGUAGGAUUAGCUAGUUGGUGUGGUAAAGGCGCACCAAGGCGACGAUCCUUAGCUGGUCUGAGAGGAUGAUC
This 220-nucleotide ribosomal RNA is filed under the name uncultured bacterium. Its description in RNAcentral is "partial 16S ribosomal RNA". It matches the Rfam family "Bacterial small subunit ribosomal RNA", at positions 57 to 305 of the family's 1533-position model. The record is from RNAcentral.